This is a long non-coding RNA of Gossypium arboreum, 294 nucleotides long. RefSeq lists it as uncharacterized. NCBI's taxonomy places the organism in Eukaryota, Viridiplantae, Streptophyta, Magnoliopsida, Malvales, Malvaceae. The transcript has 2 exons. The record is from RefSeq and is a predicted model, not a curated record.
AAUUGUAGGCAGUUCGUGUGUGGAUCUCGUCACCAUAUCGUCGCAAACAGGUAAUCCCCAACCAUAGUGGGCUUGGAGCUGUGAGGGAAUUCGAAGUGGCCACCCGUUCUGAAAGUUUGAUUUUCUUCUGGUGAACUGGACAUCCUUUUAUUUACGUUUGAAGUUUUGGGUUUUUAAAUUUAAUAAGGCCGCUUAAUUAUUUUUUAUGGUUUUAAUAUGUAUUACUAAGAUAGGUAUUACUUAUUUUAACUGUUGAAAUUGGAUAGCUUUAGGGUGUGUUUUCAAAAACAACAA